AGAACGAACGCUGGCGGCAGGCUUAACACAUGCAAGUCGAACGAAUGUAGCAAUACAUUAGUGGCGCACGGGUGAGUAACGCGUGGAUAUCUGCCUUUUGGUUCGGGAUAACCUUGGGAAACUAGGGCUAAUACCGAAUGGUUCCUACGGGAUAAAGAUUUAUCGCCAAAAGAUGAGUCCGCGUCCGAUUAGCUAGUUGGUGAGGUAAUGGCUCACCAAGGCGACGAUCGGUAGCUGGUCUGAGAGGACGAUCAGCCACACUGGGACUGAGACACGGCCCAGACUCCUACGGGAGGCAGCAGUGGGGAAUAUUGGACAAUGGGGGCAACCCUGAUCCAGCCAUGCCGCGUGAGUGAUGAAGGCCUUCGGGUUGUAAAGCUCUUUUGGCGGGGACGAUGAUGACGGUACCCGCAGAAUAAGCCCGGCUAACUUCGUGCCAGCAGCCGC
Molecule: ribosomal RNA, 447 nt
Filed under: uncultured bacterium
Lineage: Bacteria
Description: SSU rRNA
Rfam family: Bacterial small subunit ribosomal RNA
Source: RNAcentral